GNCAUUNGNGGGCGUUGCUAAUACAUGCAAGUCGAGCGGACGGAUGGGAGCUUGCUCCCUGAAGUCAGCGGCGGACGGGUGAGUAACACGUGGGCAACCUGCCUGUAAGACUGGGAUAACUCCGGGAAACCGGGGCUAAUACCGGAUAACUCUUUUCCUCACAUGAGGAAAAGCUGAAAGAUGGUUUCGGCUAUCACUUACAGAUGGGCCCGCGGCGCAUUAGCUAGUUGGUGAGGUAACGGCUCACCAAGGCCACGAUGCGUAGCCGACCUGAGAGGGUGAUCGGCCACACUGGGACUGAGACACGGCCCAGACUCCUACGGGAGGCAGCAGUAGGGAAUCUUCCGCAAUGGACGAAAGUCUGACGGAGCAACGCCGCGUGAGUGAUGAAGGUUUUCGGAUCGUAAAACUCUGUUGUCAGGGAAGAACAAGUACCGGAUUAACUGCCGGUACCUUGACGGUACCUGACCANAAAGCCACGGCUAACUACGUGCCAUCANCCGCGGAAAUACUUAGGUGGCAAGC
RNAcentral lists this ribosomal RNA (525 nucleotides) under Cytobacillus firmus. RNAcentral's name for it is "bacterial SSU rRNA". It matches the Rfam family "Bacterial small subunit ribosomal RNA", at positions 37 to 537 of the family's 1533-position model. Lineage: Bacteria; Bacillati; Bacillota; Bacilli; Caryophanales; Bacillaceae. The record is from RNAcentral.